RNAcentral lists this ribosomal RNA (501 nucleotides) under uncultured bacterium. RNAcentral's name for it is "bacterial SSU rRNA". It matches the Rfam family "Bacterial small subunit ribosomal RNA", at positions 26 to 518 of the family's 1533-position model. The record is from RNAcentral.
AGGAUGAACGCUAGCGACAGGCUAACACAUGCAAGUCGAGGGGUAACAGGGUAGCAAUACCGCUGACGACCGGCGCACGGGUGAGUAACGCGUAUGCAACCUGCCUAUAACUGGGGAAUAGCUCCCUGAAAGGGGAAUUAACACCGCAUGACACUAUUGAUUCGCAUGGAUUGGUAGUUAAAUGUAGCGAUACAGGUUAUAGAUGGGCAUGCGUGACAUUAGCUAGUUGGUGAGGUAACGGCUCACCAAGGCUACGAUGUCUAGGGGUUCUGAGAGGAAGGUCCCCCCACACUGGUACUGAGACACGGACCAGACUCCUACGGGAGGCAGCAGUGAGGAAUAUUGGUCAAUGGGCGCAAGCCUGAACCAGCCAUGUCGCGUGCAGGAAGAACCUGCCCUAUGGGUUGUAAACUGCUUUUAUAGUAGAAGAAACACAUCUACGCGUAGAUGUCUGCCAGUAUACUAUGAAUAAGCAUCGGCUAACUCCGUGCCAGCCGCCGC